ACGAAGGGGGCUAGCGUUGCUCGGAACGACUGGGCGUAAAGGGCGCGUAGGCGGCGCAUACAGUCAGAUGUGAAAUUCCUGGGCUUAGCCUGGGGGCUGCAUUUGAUACGUAUGUGCUUGAGUGUGGAAGAGGGUCGUGGAAUUCCCAGUGUAGAGGUGAAAUUCGUAGAUAUUGGGAAGAACACCGGUGGCGAAGGCGGCGACCUGGUCCAUAACUGACGCUGAGGCGCGAAAGCGUGGGGAGCAAACAGGAUUAGAUACCCUGGUAGUCCACGCUGUAAACGAUGUGUGCUGGGUGUUGGGUGGCCUAGCCACUCAGUGUCGUAGCUAACGCGAUAAGCACACCGCCUGGGGAGUACGGCCGCAAGGUUG
RNAcentral lists this ribosomal RNA (372 nucleotides) under uncultured bacterium. RNAcentral's name for it is "bacterial SSU rRNA". It matches the Rfam family "Bacterial small subunit ribosomal RNA", at positions 525 to 896 of the family's 1533-position model. The record is from RNAcentral.